Molecule: ribosomal RNA, 524 nt
Filed under: uncultured bacterium
Lineage: Bacteria
Description: partial 16S ribosomal RNA
Rfam family: Bacterial small subunit ribosomal RNA
Source: RNAcentral
GACGAACGCUGGCGGCAUGCCUAAUACAUGCAAGUCGAACGAAGCUUUUUUAACUGGUGCUUGCACCGACUUAAACAACUGAGUGGCGAACGGGUGAGUAACACGUGGGUAACCUGCCCCAAAGCGGGGGAUAACAUUUGGAAACAGAUGCUAAUACCGCAUAACCACAGAAACCACAUGGUUUCUGUGUCAAAGAUGGUUUCGGCUAUCACUUUGGGAUGGACCCGCGGCGUAUUAGCUAGUUGGUAAGGUAAUGGCUUACCAAGGCAAUGAUACGUAGCCGAACUGAGAGGUUGAUCGGCCACAUUGGGACUGAGACACGGCCCAAACUCCUACGGGAGGCAGCAGUAGGGAAUCUUCCAUAAUGGACGAAAGUCUGAUGGAGCAACGCCGCGUGAGUGAAGAAGGUUUUCGGAUCGUAAAACUCUGUUGUCAGAGAAGAACGUGUGCGAGAGUAACUGUUCGUGCAGUGACGGUAUCUGGCCAGAAAGCCACGGCUAACUACGUGCCAGCCGCCGCCGUAA